GCCAGCAGCCAUAUCACCCUGCAACUCACAACUGGCAACUCACAACUGGCAACCCACUGAAGCUAAGCAGGUGUGAGCCUGGUCAGUACCUGGAUGGGAGACCUCCUGGGAAAAACUAAGGUUGCUGCUNNNN
RNAcentral lists this ribosomal RNA (133 nucleotides) under Lepisosteus oculatus (spotted gar). The record is from RNAcentral. Lineage: Eukaryota; Metazoa; Chordata; Actinopteri; Semionotiformes; Lepisosteidae.